UGUCUUUGACCGCCCCAGAAUUCACACACGAGCGUGUAAAAUGGCCAUACUAAAGCGCGUGGUUGGAUAUUCAAAUUUUCAGGUGGGGCUAACCAAGAAUUGCAAAACCGCGGUACAGUGGUACACUUCUUUUUUUCGGAAAAAUUAAUUGGACUCUCGCACGCGCUCCUCCUCCUCUUCACUGUUGCGGCGUGAUGACACGCGCUUCAACUCCGUUUGAUAGAGAAAGAGCGCUUCUCCUUUCGAAGUUUCAAACUCUCCUUUCACUUUCUCUCCUCUCAGUACUGUUUGUUUCCCGAUAUUUUUUCAAAAGGGAAAAGAAAGAGAGAGCAAUGGUAUCAAGCGUUUGAAGUCGUUUAUCUUCGUUUAUAGAUUAACGAGUCUCUGGUUCCAUUUCUCGUAUCUCGUGUGCAUACUCGUGCUAGAACGAGAUAUCGAUUGCGAAAUUUAGAGUGAGUGAGUGUGAUUGCGAGAGCGAUGCCGCGAUCCAAUUCCGCCGCACACCACCACCGUCAGAGCUCCGACAACUUCAUCCUCGACGCUCAUAGAAGCUGGUUACAGUCUUCGACUUUCGCGCAGGAGUUCGGAACUCGAUCUUCGAGCUUGAGGAAAAUAGACGAUGAUCGUGUUUUGAGCAGCGGCUUGCUUGAUCUGCAUUCCUUAGAUACCGAGCUUUUACCUGAGACUUAUGGUGAUCACAAUGGAUACUUCACUAAUCACACUGUUCGGGGACAGAAUUUUGAUGACUAUGAGUCAAUCCUCUCUGGUAACAAACAUGUACAAAGGUCUCGGGGAUUGCCUGAGAACAAUUUUCUGAAAAGUGUCCCAACAGAAAAGGAGAGAGCAAACAAUGUUGCCAAGAUUAAAGUAGCGGUCCGGAAGAGACCCCUUAAUAAGAAGGAAAUAGCAAAGAGAGAAGAAGACAUUAUUUCUAUAGAUUCAAAUUUUCUCACAGUGCAUGAAAGAAAACUCAAGGUGGACUUAACAGAAUAUGUUGAGAAACAUGAAUUUGUCUUUGAUGCUGUGCUGAACGAAGAUGUUUCAAAUAAUGAAGUAUAUGCCGAGACUGUGGAGCCAAUUGUUCCGCUCAUUUUCCAGCGAAUAAAAGCAACUUGCUUUGCAUACGGUCAAACUGGCAGUGGGAAGACAUAUACUAUGCAACCAUUGCCUCUCAAAGCUUCACAAGAUAUUUUAAGAUUAAUGCACCACACCUACUGGAAUCAAGGUUUCCAAUUGUUUGUUAGUUUCUUUGAAAUAUAUGGGGGAAAACUUUUUGAUCUCCUCAAUGAUCGAAAAAAACUUUUCAUUAGGGAGGAUGGGAAACAACAGGUUUGCAUUGUUGGCUUGCAAGAAUAUAGAGUAUCUAAAGUAGAGACAAUCAAGGAAUUUAUUGAGAAAGGAAAUGCCACAAGAAGUACUGGCACAACUGGAGCAAAUGAGGAAUCCUCUCGAUCACAUGCUAUACUUCAGCUUUGCAUUAAGAGAUCAGCUGAUGGGACUGAAUCAAAGCCUGCUCGACUUGUGGGCAAACUAUCUUUUAUAGAUCUGGCUGGAAGUGAACGAGGUGCAGAUACUACAGAUAAUGACAAGCAGACUAGGAUUGAAGGGGCAGAAAUAAAUAAAAGCUUACUUGCUCUGAAAGAAUGCAUUAGAGCUUUGGACAAUGACCAAGGGCAUAUCCCUUUCAGAGGAAGUAAAUUGACGGAAGUUCUGCGAGAUUCCUUUGUUGGUAAUUCGCGCACUGUAAUGAUAUCAUGCAUUUCACCUAGCUCAGGUUCAUGCGAGCAUACUCUUAACACGUUAAGAUAUGCUGACAGAGUGAAGAGCCUGUCAAAAGGAAACAACUCUAGAAGGGAUCCUCUUUCUUCCUCAAACCUUAGAGAGUCCACUGUGUUGCCUGGGUCUUCAAUUUUAGCUCAUGAUGAUACCUUGGAGGAUGAAAUAACGUAUGUCUCCACUGACAGGAAUCGAUUUGGUUGGCCCAAACAUCCAGAAAGAGAACUCUCUCCUCCAAAUAAUGUGGACCGUGUUCCAAGUGGUAGAAUGGGGGGAAAUUUGGCGUCAUCUGGGUAUUCUAAUCCACCAAACGGUCCAAGAGGUGGUCAAAAUGACAGAACUGCAAAUGAAUAUGAUUACAUAGGACCCAUAUAUGAACAAGACAGAACAAGAAAAACGAUUAAGAGGGUGGAUAACAACCACUUAUCUGCUUUUGAAGACAAGAAGAGGAUAGAGUCUCGUGUUAAUGUUGAUGCAUCAAAUUUUCAGACUACUUAUUCUGAUCCGGAUGAUAAUUUAAAUGCCCUCCUGAAGGAAGAGGAAGAUCUAGUAACAGCUCAUCGUAGACAGGUGGAGGAAACCAUAGACAUUGUUAAAGAGGAGAUGAAUUUACUUGUUGAAGCUGACCAACCAGGAAAUCAAUUGGAUGAUUAUAUUUCCAAAUUGAAUACCAUUUUAUCACAAAAGGCUACAGGAAUCCUUCAAUUGCAGACACAGUUGGCUCAAUUUCAGAGACGUUUAAACGAGUGCUGUGGAGUGAUUCGGGUUAAUGAGUAAAGGAUAAAGAAUGAAGAGUCACAGCAAUCCCGUUGAAAUGGCUUGAUCGUUGUUUCCUUUUGCUGCAGUAGAUGUCAAGGUCCAUAGCCCAAUAGGGAUCUUCUCACUCUCCAUGUCCAACAUGUUUUCGUCUGUUGCACCUAAACCUUUGGUGAUGUGUCAUUCUUUGAUACUAUCAUGAUACCUAAACAUUUAAGCGGCGAUAUCAAUUCUGGUCGACCUUUUAUCAUUGGAGUCUUCGCCACGUGUUCUAUGCAGAAGACACACUGAUCCAAAGUUUUGGUGGACAACAGGCAUGACAUGCUGAUUCUAAACCCUACAACGUAUUGGACUCUUGCUAAUUGCCAAGUGUCUACCGUGCUUUUCAAGCUUCGCCACAAAAGUGAAAACUUUCUCAGAUUCUGGUGAAUGAAUUUCCAAACAGUGCCAAUGCCGAAAAGAAAAGCAAAAGGCGUUUGCUUCUUCAUCCUUAUCAAUUUUAUGAAACGCCCUUUUUUUCUGCAUCCGAAGACUUGAACAGCGGAAUUUUCAUAUCAGUAAAAUGCUUUAU
RNA transcript from Vigna angularis (adzuki bean), 3103 nucleotides. It is a transcript of the gene named kinesin-like protein KIN-13B, with no coding region annotated. Lineage: Eukaryota; Viridiplantae; Streptophyta; Magnoliopsida; Fabales; Fabaceae. The transcript has 15 exons. The record is from RefSeq and is a predicted model, not a curated record.